This 253-nucleotide ribosomal RNA is filed under the name uncultured bacterium. RNAcentral describes it as "partial 16S ribosomal RNA". It matches the Rfam family "Bacterial small subunit ribosomal RNA", at positions 524 to 776 of the family's 1533-position model. The record is from RNAcentral.
UACGUAGGGUGCAAGCGUUGUCCGGAAUUAUUGGGCGUAAAGCGUGCGCAGGCGGUUUUGUAAGUCUGACGUGAAAUCCCCGGGCUCAACCUGGGAAUUGCGAUGGAGACUGCAAGGCUAGAAUCUGGCAGAGGGGGGUAGAAUUCCACGUGUAGCAGUGAAAUGCGUAGAGAUGUGGAGGAACACCGAUGGCGAAGGCAGCCCCCUGGGUCAAGAUUGACGCUCAUGCACGAAAGCGUGGGGAGCAAACAGG